Mycena floridula is the source of this 99-nucleotide non-coding RNA. The record is from the annotation of a GenBank genome assembly. NCBI's taxonomy places the organism in Eukaryota, Fungi, Basidiomycota, Agaricomycetes, Agaricales, Mycenaceae.
GGCCGCCUAGCGUAAUGGUUAACGCGCUAGUUUCCGGCUUAGAGGCAUAUUGUGCCCGUCAGUAGCUAGAGAGUCUGAGUUCGAGUCUCAGGGUGGUCG